AGACUACUCAGUUGCGCCCUAACAGUAUAACUCUGCAACGAGUACUUUCUCUCAUUCAAUCCAAAAAAGUGUGAAAGCUAAUUAUCUUCUUCUAUUAUGCCCCAAGAGCGUAAAUAUCGAACGAAUCAUUGUCAACGUUCACUAGAACCAAAACCGGAACAACAUUAGACUACUCAGUUGCGCCCUAACAGUAUAACUUUGCAACGAGUGCUUUUUCGCAUUCUAUCGAACAAAGAGUAAAACCUAAUUAUAUUGUUCUAUUAUGCCCCGAGAGUGUAAAUUUGGAACGAAUCGAGUCAACCUUCAGAAGAAGCAAACCGAAACAAUAAUAGACUGCUCAGUUGUGCCCUCACAGUAUACCUUUGGAACGAGUACUUUUUCUCAUUCAAUCGAACAAAGUGUAAAAGCUAAUUAUAUUAUUCUAUCAUUCCCCGAGAGUGUAAAUUUGGAACGAAUCGAUGUCAACCUUCACAAGAACCAAAAUCGAAACAACAAUAAACUACUUAGUUGCGCCCUAACAGUAUAACUUUGCAACGAGUACUUUUCUACAUUCUAUCGAACAAAGAGUAAAAACCAAAUAAUAUUAUUCUAUUAGUCCCCGAGAGUGUAAAUUUGGAACGAAUCGAUGUCAACCUUCGCAAGAACGAAAACCGAAACAACAAUAGACUACUCAGUUGCGCCCUAACAGUAUAACUUUGCAACGAGUACUUUUUCGCAUUCUAUCGAACAAAUAGUAAAACCUAAUUAUAUUGUUCUAUUAUGCCCCGAGAGUAUAAAUUUGGAACGAAUCGAUAUCAACCUUCAUCAGAAGCAAAACCGAAACAACAAUAGACUGCUCAGUUGCGCCCUAACAGUAUCACUUUACAACGAGUACUUUUUCUUAUUCAAUCGAACAAAGUGUAAAUGCUAAUUAUAUUAUUCUAUUAUGCCCCGAGAGUGUAAAUUUGGAACGAAUCGAUGUCAACCUUCACAAGAAGCAAAACCGGAACAAUAAUAGACUUCUCAGUUGCGCCAUAACAGUAUAACUUUAGAACGAGUACUUUUUCUCAUUCAAUCGAACAAACUGUAAAAGCCAAUUAUAUUAUUCUAUCAAUCCCCGAGAGUGUAAAUUUGGAACGAAUCGAUGUCAACCUCCACAAAAACCAAAGCCGAAACAACAAUAGACUACUCAGUAGCGCCCUAACAAUAUAACUUUGCAACGAGUACUUUUUCGCAUUCUAUUGAACAAAGAGCAAAACCUAAUAAUAUUAUUCUAUUAUGCCCCGAGAGUGUAAAUUUGGAAUGAAUCGAUGUCAACCUUCACAAGAACCAAAACCGGAACAACAAUAGACUACUCAGUUGCGCCCUAACAGUAUAACUUUGCAACAAGUAAUAUUUCUUUUUCAAUCGAACAAAGUGUAAAAGCUAAUUACAUUAUUCUAUUAUGCCCUGAGAGUGUAAGUUUGGAACGAAUCGAUGUCAACCUUCACAAGAACCAAAUUCGUAACAACAAUAGACUACUUUGUUGCGCCCUAACAAUAUAAAUUUGCAACGAGUGCUUUUUCUCGUUCUAUCGAACAAAGAUUAAAACCUAAUUAUGUUGUUCUAUUUUGCCCCGAGAGAAUAAAUUUUGAACGCAACGAUGUCAACAUUCACAAGAACGAAAACCAGAACAAC
RNAcentral lists this long non-coding RNA (1656 nucleotides) under Ananas comosus (pineapple). Its description in RNAcentral is "long non-coding RNA (ACOM_LNC038991)". Lineage: Eukaryota; Viridiplantae; Streptophyta; Magnoliopsida; Poales; Bromeliaceae. The record is from RNAcentral.